UUGACCUCGGAUCAGGUAGGAAUACCCGCUGAACUUAAGCAUAUCAAUAAGCGGAGGAAAAGAAACCAACAGGGAUUGCCUCAGUAACGGCGAGUGAAGCGGCAACAGCUCAAAUUUGAAAUCUGGCCGCAAGGUCCGAGUUGUAAUUUGUAGAGGAUGCUUUUGGCAAGGUGCCUUCCGAGUUCCCUGGAACGGGACGCCAUAGAGGGUGAGAGCCCCGUACGGUAGGACCACCGAGCCUCUGUAAAGCUCCUUCGACGAGUCGAGUAGUUUGGGAAUGCUGCUCUAAAUGGGAGGUGUACGUCUUCUAAAGCUAAAUACCGGCCAGAGACCGAUAGCGCACAAGUAGAGUGAUCGAAAGAUGAAAAGCACUUUGAAAAGAGGGUUAAAAAGUACGUGAAAUUGUUGAAAGGGAAGCAUUUAUGACCAGACUUGGGCUUGGUUGAACAUCCGGCGUUCUCGCCGGUGCACUCUGCCAGUCCAGGCCAGCAUCAGUUUGCUCCGGGGGAUAAAGGCGGCGGGAAUGUGGCUCUCUCCGGGGAGUGUUAUAGCCCGCCGUGUAAUGCCCUGGGGCGGACUGAGGAACGC
RNAcentral lists this ribosomal RNA (588 nucleotides) under Sarocladium zeae. RNAcentral's name for it is "eukaryotic LSU rRNA". It matches the Rfam family "Eukaryotic large subunit ribosomal RNA", at positions 1 to 598 of the family's 3401-position model. The record is from RNAcentral. Lineage: Eukaryota; Fungi; Ascomycota; Sordariomycetes; Hypocreales; Sarocladiaceae.